RNAcentral lists this ribosomal RNA (487 nucleotides) under uncultured bacterium. RNAcentral describes it as "bacterial SSU rRNA". It matches the Rfam family "Bacterial small subunit ribosomal RNA", at positions 28 to 507 of the family's 1533-position model. The record is from RNAcentral.
GAUGAACGCUAGCGGGAGGCUUAACACAUGCAAGUCGAGGGGCAGCAUAGGGUAGCAAUACUCUGGUGGCGACCGGCAAACGGGUGAGUAACGCGUAUGCAACCUACCCUGUACAGGGGGAUAACCCGGAGAAAUUCGGACUAAUAUCCCGUAAUAAUAUCCGGAGGCAUCUUUGGAUAUUUAAAGUUCCGACGGUACGGGAUGGGCAUGCGUAACAUUAGCUGGUUGGUAAGGUAACGGCUUACCAAGGCUAUGAUGUUUAGGGGUCCUGAGAGGGUGGUCCCCCACACUGGUACUGAGACACGGACCAGACUCCUACGGGAGGCAGCAGUGAGGAAUAUUGGUCAAUGGGCGCAAGCCUGAACCAGCCAUCCCGCGUGCAGGAAGACGGCCCUAUGGGUUGUAAACUGCUUUUCCAGGGAGAGAAACUUACGCACGUGUUGCGUGACUGACGGUACCCUGGGAAUAAGCAUCGGCUAACUCCGUG